GAUCUAUUGGAUAUAUGUAGAAGCGCGUAAGCAAUCCCAUGGUAAGAAGGAAGAUUAUGAAUGACAACGAUGUUAUUAAUCCGAGCCAUAACCAACUGAAUUUUCCUAAAUUUGUGGAUAUAGGUGCAUCGGAGGUGUUUGCCUUGAACCAUAUUGUCCGCAAGGGGGUUGACUUUUCUAUUUGUGGUUCUAAUUCACGGGUAACAUAUGCCUCUACUUGUAGCUCAAGAUUUGAAACUCCAGGAAGUAAACUAUUAGAGUCGUGCAUGUCCAAAAUCAUUUUAAUCAAAAAUAAAAAGUUAUAUUUCCUCAAUUUCAAUAGAUUUUUUUCCUCCUAUUUUUCCACUUUUCUUCAAUAAUAAUUUGAAUAUUUACCAUUUUAAUAAUUACGCACAAUUUUAAGAUAUGAUAUUAGAAUUCAUAUACCAAAUAAUGCCCUAGAUCAGUAUUUUCUAUUAUAUUUAUUGUACAUUUUUUAAAUAUUGUUGGACUUGAGCAUCAUAACAAUAAAUGUUCAGUAAAACUAAAAUAACCAUAAAGGCAUAUAAAUUUAUAAUAUUUUUUUAUAAAUUUUGGACUUGUAAAUUGAUUUGAAAUUAAAUUAACUAAUCAAUCAUGAUAUAAUCACGAUUUAGUAAUGAUAGACGAGAAACUGUUGAGCACCGUAGCUGUCUCCCUUUUCAUGAGCUAAACUGUUAAAUUAAAUUGAUACAGCUUGGAGUAACAAGGUUUUAGAAAUAAUUUAAGCCCAAAAAUUAUGAAUACUCAAUGAAAACCACCAGUAUAUAUUACUAUUAAAUAAUUAAUUGCCUGAAAUUUUUUUAUAUUAAAAGGCAAUUGCACAGUAACUACAAAGGAGUGGAUAGCAGCACUGCAUCCCUGAGAAUAUUUGAUCACCAGCUAAAACUUAUGGAUUCGAAAUGUAAAUUGUCUGCAGAGCCUGAUGAACAUAUGUUUGCGACAUCAUGGCGCAUACUCUUCGGACCACAAACUAGAACACCAACACUUGAUCCUUCUUGUUCCACUAGAAUUCCUACAACAUUACAUAAUCAACUCUAUUAUCAACUUCCUAUUGCCCUGCUCUCGAGUUAUAAUUAGGGAGGAAAGCAAGUGAAAAUGAAGUAAAGUUAUGUAACUUUCUCUCUGUUUGUGUUGCCGAGUUUUUUAAAAGGAGGAAAGCAAGUGAAAGUGGAUGCAAGUAUAACAUACUUUCACUCCCAAAAGUGGGAUGAAAGUGAAAGCACAUUUGCUUUCACUUGCUUUCUCCCUAAAAAAACUCGGGAGCAGGGCCUAUGUUAGCCAAGACCAACAUUUUAUCAAUGUAGAGUUCAGUGCAUAUGAUUUCCAGAUAAAAGAUAUUAUAUUCAUACGAUGGAUGCUCUUAGCAAAGCAGAAUUUUAAUUCUUGCAAGUAUAAGUGGAUAACAAGGGCAGCAAAUUAACUUACCCCUCAGAUCAGGCCUUCGGCCAUAAUGCAGCUUGGUAGUUUUUGAAAGACACUGCUGAGGAAGACUUUCGAGUUCUUGCUCAAUAGGAUUGACGGCCACUGAAUUAUGCAAUUUAGGUGACAAUCCUUUAAGUUCCUCGAUCUGUUGUUUCUUGUUCCACAGAAAAGCUCCAGUGGCUGUCACAAGUAGGGAUAUGCAUAGGAGUAGCAUAUUUAGCAGAGCCUGUAAUGAGUAUGAGAAGACCAUAAAACUAUUAUGAUCUAUUGGAUAUAUGUAGAAGCGCGUAAGCAAUCCCAUGGUAAGAAGGAAGAUUAUGAAUGACAACGAUGUUAUUAAUCCGAGCCAUAACCAACUGAAUUUUCCUAAAUUUGUGGAUAUAGGUGCAUCGGAGGUGUUUGCCUUGAACCAUAUUGUCCGCAAGGGGGUUGACUUUUCUAUUUGUGGUUCUAAUUCACGGGUAACAUAUGCCUCUACUUGUAGCUCAAGAUUUGAAACUCCAUAUG
Molecule: long non-coding RNA, 1950 nt
Filed under: Daucus carota (carrot)
Lineage: Eukaryota; Viridiplantae; Streptophyta; Magnoliopsida; Apiales; Apiaceae
Description: long non-coding RNA (DCAR_LNC001115)
Source: RNAcentral